UACGUAGGGGGCAAGCGUUAUCCGGAAUCAUUGGGCGUAAAGCGCGUGUAGGCGGUUCAGUAAGUCCGCUCUGAAAGCCCAGGGCUCAACCCUGGGAGGCGGGUGGAUACUACCGAACUAGAGUACGGAAGAGGAGAUUGGAAUUCCUGGUGUAGCGGUGAAAUGCGCAGAUAUCAGGAGGAACACCAACAGCGAGGCAGAUCUCUGGGACGUAACUGACGCUGAGACGCGAAAGCGUGGGGAGCAAACAGG
This 252-nucleotide ribosomal RNA is filed under the name uncultured bacterium. Its description in RNAcentral is "partial 16S ribosomal RNA". It matches the Rfam family "Bacterial small subunit ribosomal RNA", at positions 524 to 776 of the family's 1533-position model. The record is from RNAcentral.